UCCUCAAAAUGAUUGGUACUUCUUUAGCCACAAGGACAAGAAAUAUCCCACCGGAACGCGCACAAAUCGAGCAACUGCUGCUGGGUUUUGGAAAGCUACCGGCCGCGAUAAGGUGAUACACAGCAAUGGUAGGCGGAUUGGGAUGAGGAAGACUCUAGUUUUCUACAAAGGCAGAGCCCCACAUGGCCAAAAGUCUGAUUGGAUUAUGCAUGAAUAUAGACUCGACGACAAUAUUAAUGUUGCUGAUGCCAAUGUGUCCAACGUUUUGGGAGAAGCAACACAGGAAGAGGGAUGGGUAGUUUGCCGCAUCUUCAAGAAGAAAAAUCACCAUAAAACCCUAGACAGUCCUCCAAGUUCGUCAUCCAUCGCUUUGGAGGCAAGGACGAACCAGAUGUUCAAUUCUUUCAAUGAAGGAGCUCUAGAUCAAAUACUUCAAUACAUGGGAAGGACGUGCAAGGAAGAAAACGAAGCAAACAACAUUACUGCAAGAUUUCUCAGGCCAAUCGAUGCAACAAUCAACAAUGGUUAUCGUGACAGCAGGUGCAUGAAACUUCCAAGCCUCGAGAGCCCAAACUCAAGCAGUAGCCAAAAUUGUUACCCACCCAUGAUGAUGAAUGAAGGUUCAAUAUCCAACCAGGUGAGUUCCAUGGAUCCCAACUCAGUUUAUCCCUUGGACUCUGGCCUCACCAACUGGGCAGCCCUUGAUCGUCUAGUAGCUUCUCAACUGAAUGGCCAAAGUGAAAAUUCGAGGCAGUUUGGGUGCUUCAAUGACCCAAACAUGGGCUAUUGCAAUCCAAUUGAGCAACCUCACCAUGAUUUCCAAUUCCCAACCCAACGAUCGUCAUUCUCAUUGCCAUCGAGCAGGCCGUACCAUGGAAGUCAUCAAGAUUAUGUAAGUGAGAUUGAGCUGUGGAAUUUCGGCUCUCGGUCACCGCCGUCAACAUCGGACCCAAUAUGCCACGUUUCAAAGUCUAGUGUAUAACAGAUGAAUGAAUAACCCCACAUAAAUAAUGAUAUCAUAGUUGAUAAAGUCAGAAGGAGUAUUAUGACAAGAGUUUUAUGUGAUAAUUUAUAUAUGUAAGUGAUAUAGAAUAUAUAAAUAAAGUGAAGAGUUUCUUAGAUGGGGUGGCAUUAUCAACCAUUAUCUUUUCUUAAUCAAGAUGUCUACCAUUUUUCAAUUUGUAAUCUAGAAACCAUUAUCUUUUCAAUCUGUGGGGUUAUUUCUGUGAUAAUAUCCCUCUAACUUCAUGUAAUAAUUCUACCUUUUUAAUUCCUCUAAGAUGAUGAUCGAUCAAGAUAGUCGUAUAUGUAAUUAUGCUUGAGGUUGUCACAUGGUUUGUCGGUUUGCUUUGAGGAGCCGAGGACUUAGAUCCUGUGGCUGUGGCUCAAUUGGUCCAUGCAAUAUGGGAAAAGUUGGUGGGACUUGGCUAUAGGCUAAAUACCACUAGCCACAAACACGGAGA
This 1463-nucleotide unclassified non-coding RNA is filed under the name Hevea brasiliensis (rubber tree). The record is from RNAcentral. Lineage: Eukaryota; Viridiplantae; Streptophyta; Magnoliopsida; Malpighiales; Euphorbiaceae.